RNAcentral lists this ribosomal RNA (253 nucleotides) under uncultured bacterium. Its description in RNAcentral is "partial 16S ribosomal RNA". It matches the Rfam family "Bacterial small subunit ribosomal RNA", at positions 524 to 776 of the family's 1533-position model. The record is from RNAcentral.
UACGUAGGGUGCAAGCGUUGUCCGGAAUUAUUGGGCGUAAAGAGCUCGUAGGCGGUUUGUCGCGUCUGCUGUGAAAUCUGGGGGCUCAACCCCCAGCCUGCAGUGGGUACGGGCAGACUAGAGUGCGGUAGGGGAGAUUGGAAUUCCUGGUGUAGCGGUGGAAUGCGCAGAUAUCAGGAGGAACACCGAUGGCGAAGGCAGGUCACUGGGCCGCAACUGACGCUGAGGAGCGAAAGCAUGGGGAGCGAACAGG